GGCAUGAUGCCGAGUGGUCUAAGGUGGUUAGUACCACUAUCGUUUCCUCCAUGAUAAACAUCAACUAAUAAUUUACCAGGCGGUUUUAAGUUAUUCUACAUACACCGCUCUCGAGAGAGGCGUGGGUUCAAACCCCACUCAUGUCA
Non-coding RNA from Xylogone sp. PMI_703, 146 nucleotides. The record is from the annotation of a GenBank genome assembly. NCBI's taxonomy places the organism in Eukaryota, Fungi, Ascomycota, Leotiomycetes.